CCUACGGGAGGCAGCAGUGAGGAAUAUUGGUCAAUGGCCGGAAGGCUGAACCAGCCAUGCCGCGUGAAGGUCAGUGCCCUAUGGGCGUUAAACUUCUUUUGUGCGGGAGCAAUAAUGGUCACGUGUGGCCAGACGAGAGUACCGUACGAAUAAGCAUCGGCUAACUCCGUGCCAGCAGCCGCGGUAAUACGGGGGAUGCAAGCGUUAUCCGGAUUUAUUGGGUUUAAAGGGAGCGUAUGCCGCAUGUCAAGCGUGCUGUGAAAUGUCCGGGGUCAACCCCGAAACUGCCUCUCAUACUGUUGGACUAGAGAAUAGUUGCGGUAGGCGGAAUGUAUGGUGUAGCGGUGAAAUGCUUAGAGAUCAUACAGAACACCGAUUGCGAAGGCAGCUUACCAAACUAUAUCUGACGUUGAGGCACGAAAGCGUGGGUAGCAAACAGGAUUAGAUACCCCAGUAGUC
This 459-nucleotide ribosomal RNA is filed under the name uncultured bacterium. Its description in RNAcentral is "partial 16S ribosomal RNA". It matches the Rfam family "Bacterial small subunit ribosomal RNA", at positions 338 to 795 of the family's 1533-position model. The record is from RNAcentral.